AACGAACGCUGGCGGCAUGCCUAACACAUGCAAGUCGAACGAGACCUUCGGGUCUAGUGGCGCACGGGUGCGUAACGCGUGGGAACCUGCCCUUAGGUUCGGAAUAACUCCCCGAAAGGGGUGCUAAUACCGGAUAAUGUCUUCGGACCAAAGAUUUAUCGCCUUUGGAUGGGCCCGCGUUGGAUUAGCUAGUUGGUAGGGUAAAAGCCUACCAAGGCGACGAUCCAUAGCUGGUCUGAGAGGAUGAUCAGCCACACUGGGACUGAGACACGGCUCAGACUCCUACGGGAGGCAGCGGUGGGGAAUAUUGGACAAUGGGCGAAAGCCUGAUCCAGCAAUGCCGCGUGAGUGAUGAAGGCCUUAGGGUUGUAAAGCUCUUUUACCCGGGAUGAUAAUGACAGUACCGGGAGAAUAAGCUCCGGCUAACUCCGUG
This 433-nucleotide ribosomal RNA is filed under the name uncultured bacterium. RNAcentral's name for it is "partial 16S ribosomal RNA". It matches the Rfam family "Bacterial small subunit ribosomal RNA", at positions 29 to 507 of the family's 1533-position model. The record is from RNAcentral.